GGUGGUUCUCAGGUGAAGCACCCUGGAAUCGGGCUCCCUCCUCUCUGGUUCCGGGGUGGGUCAUCUGAGAACCACU
Molecule: non-coding RNA, 76 nt
Organism: Myotis lucifugus (little brown bat)
Lineage: Eukaryota; Metazoa; Chordata; Mammalia; Chiroptera; Vespertilionidae
Source: Rfam